GAUGAACGCUGGCGGCGUGCCUAAUACAUGCAAGUCGAGCGAACGGACGAGAAGCUUGCUUUUCUGAUGUUAGCGGCGGACGGGUGAGUAACACGUGGAUAACCUACCUAUAAGACUGGGAUAACUUCGGGAAACCGGAGCUAAUACCGGAUAAUAUUUUGAACCGCAUGGUUCAUAAGUGAAAGACGGUCUUGCUGUCACUUAUAGAUGGAUCCGCGCUGCAUUGGCUAGUUGGUAAGGUAACGGCUUACCAAGGCAACGAUGCAUAGCCGACCUGAGAGGGUGAUCGGCCACACUGGAACUGAGACACGGUCCAGACUCCUACGGGAGGCAGCAGUAGGGAAUCUUCCGCAAUGGGCGAAAGCCUGACGGAGCAACGCCGCGUGAGUGAUGAAGGUCUUCGGAUCGUAAAACUCUGUUAUUAGGGAAGAACAUAUGUGUAAGUAACUGUGCACAUCUUGACGGUACCUAAUCAGAAAGCCACGGCUAACUACGUG
This 497-nucleotide ribosomal RNA is filed under the name uncultured bacterium. RNAcentral's name for it is "partial 16S ribosomal RNA". It matches the Rfam family "Bacterial small subunit ribosomal RNA", at positions 28 to 507 of the family's 1533-position model. The record is from RNAcentral.